CAUCCGAAUCAACUUUUGAUCCUUUCGGGGGACCAUGCGGACAAGACCCAAAUGACUUCUGAGUCAUUCAAAAGUAACGGCCACUUCAAAAAGGAAAUUAAUCACUCAAAGGUGUCGGCCACUUCUCAAUAAAGGCAAAUAAAAUUCAAAUGCAGAUGAAAUGAAGACCAAAUGAAGAUCAGAGCCUCUAUAAAUAGCAUAUAAUUCCAGAAGAGAGGCAUCGCGAAAAAUAUCAGAAGUACUCAUAGACUUGUCUUAGUUUUCUUACUACUUCCAACCACUCUAAACAACCCUUGUACUCAAAAGUUUUUGUACCAGAUUUCAACAUUGAAAUAAAUUCUUCAAAGUUGAAUUUCCUUUCAAGCUUCCGUUAGUCACUCAAGAAUCAAAAGUAAGUCCAACUACUUAUGUUUAUUACAUUUCAAUACCUGGGAUAGAAAUGGUAUCAGAGCCACACCCAUAUUUAUUCGCUAAACAAAAAACAAAAAAGACACUCAUAAAGAAUACAUUCGAAGACUACGAGCUGAAAGAGAUAACCCCAUUCUUCAAAAAAGAGAUAUAAAUAUUUCCCAUAGACCAUUUAUCUAUUAUAUCAAAAAUCCCGACAAAACUAUUCAACCUAUUCCUUAUUCUCAAAUUCGAAACCAUGAUAUAGUUCAUAUCAGACAUAGUUUCUGGUCUGCAACCACUCCCAAAGAACAAGCCUUUCUUCUAAAAAGGCAGAUUAAUUCAAAUAUUAUUUUCAAAAAUGUCCUAGAAAAAGCCAAUCAUCCUCCAGAAGAUAUUCAGCCCAUUAUAAAUCGAAUUCGACAGCUUAAAGAAACCCUUAACAGAAUUAUUUGUUAAUUUUGCAGGAUUAUGGAUUCAAAAGCAGGUAAUUCCAGGCCCAAGACUCCUCAAGAUUAUGAGAUGAGUCUAACCCCUGUAAACCAAAAUAGAUUCCAAAUACUUCAAGACUUUCCAGCUCUGAUAUAUAGUCAAGCUGCUAGCACUUCAACUUUUCCUCCAAUAAGAUUUAUUCAACAAACUCCAAAAUCUCCAGAAAAAGCUACAGAAAAUAUUUAUUUCACAAAACCAUUCACUCAACAUAUUACCCUGACCAGAUUUCAAGAAACACCAUUAUACUCUACACUCAACCAAACUGUUCAAAGAAUCUUUCCUCCAAAAUGCUAUUGGCAACCAGAUGAACCUUCAAAAAAUUUAGAUUAUUAUGAAUUGAUUCUUACAUAUUUUCAAUCUGUAGAAAUAUUCCCUAUUCCAGAUAAAAAGAAUCCAAAUAUUAUUAGCCACUCAAAAUGUAUAAUAAAGAAAGUUUGUUCUCCUAAUGAAUGGAUUUCUCUUUAUUCUAAAAAAUCCUUUUCAGUAAAUUUUAUUCCAGAUGGAUUCACAUACCAAGAUUACAAAAUGGCAUGGUAUCGUGCUUUCCUUUUUAGACCAUUCAAUCAUUCCUGAUUCUUCACAUUUAAAGAAAUUUGUAGUCGAGAAUUUCCAAUUUGGUUCAAUCACUGGUGGAAAUGGUUUAGACCACAAUCCGACAUAUUACCUCCAAAUGUGCUUAUGGGAUUUCAAACCUAUCUAAAAAGAGCAAAGGGGGAAGAAUAUACGAGACCAAUUUGACCAUUGAGAGUAAAGAAGUUUUAUACUGUUUGAGUCUAGUGUCUCUUAAAGCUAGAUAUAUUGGAGCAUCUACUCCUAAAUGGAAUAAAGGUUUUACAGCAAUUUGUAUUAAACCUAUAUGAAUGUAUCGAUAUCCUUUACUUAGAUAUUUUUGAAUUGUACUAUGAUUUAAUAAUUGUAUAGUUUGAUAUUCUUCUUGAAUAGAUAUUGUUUCUUCAUGUGUUUUAACUGAUAAAGCAGUUUUGAAAUCUAAAGGGCCAAUUCUAUAAAUGUGUUCUAUUUUUUCUUCUGGAAUAAUCCAAUCUGAAUUAUUUAUGGGCAUAUGAUAUUCAUGACUUUGUACUACAUUAUCUUGUCUUGAAUUAGAUCCUAUUUUUAAUUGUCUAAGAAAUGCAGCCAUGUUUAAUGUUUUAUUAAAAUUUUACUUAGACGGGAACAACUGAGCACUAUGCCUGGAACAUCCUAUCCUGGACUUACCAACGGACUAACAAGGCAUCAAGUCUUACCAACGUUUUCAGUAAAAGUUUAAUAAAAUAUGUAAACAUAAUUGCAUGAAAUAGCCAAGUUAAAAUAGAAACGUAAUUCAAAUAGAAAAUGUAAAUGCAAAGUUUAAAAUAAGCGUAUGCGAAUAAAUAUGGGUGUGGCUCUGAUACCACUUCUAUCCCAGGUAUUGAAAUGUAAUAAACAUAAGUAGUUGGACUUACUUUUGAUUCUUGAGUGACUAACGGAAGCUUGAAAGGAAAUUCAACUUUGAAGACUUUAUUGCAAUGUUGAAAUCUGGUACAAAGACUUUUGAGUACAAGGGUUGUUUAGAGUGGUUGGAAGUAGUAAGAAAACUAAGACAAGUCUAUGAGUACUUCUGAUAUUUUUCGCGAUGCCUCUCUUCUGGAAUUAUAUGCUAUUUAUAGAGGCUCUGAUCUUCAUUUGGUCUUCAUUUCAUCUGCAUUUGAAUUUUAUUUGCCUCCUUUAUUGAGAAGUGGCCGACACCUUUGAGUGAUUAAUUUCCUUUUUGAAGUGGCCGUUACUUUUGAAUGACUCAGAAGUCAUUUGGGUCUUGUCCGCAUGGUCCCCCGAAAGGAUCAAAAGUUGAUUCGAAUGACUCUGCUGACUCAUCAAUUUUGGCUGUGUCUUCUUUUUUCUCUUGCUUUUGCAAAUAGUCCAAAUAUUCUUUUAGUAAUUUUGGAUCUUGUAACAUCUUUUUCAUCAGGAAAUCAUUUGAAUUUGCCUCGGAUGCCAUCUCCGUCUCUUUUUCUUUUUCUUUCUUUAUUGGAGUAGUAUUUGGAGUUGGUGCCAGAAUGAUUGGUGUUGAUGGAGAAUUUGUAGUGGAUUUUGAAGUAUUGGGUAACUGUCUUGUCCAUUUGAGCUUUUCUCCAAUAGUCAGGAAUUUGAUAACAUUUACUUGAUCUGCAAAUUCUUGGUUGAAUCCUGUCCACCAUUUAAUUUUGAAUUCUCUUACCAAUGACAUUGGGAGUGGUUUUUCUAACUCUUGAUGUAUCUUGAAACUCCAGCAAAUUAUCCAUGGAACUUUGAACUCCAUAUGGAAUAAAAUUGGUCUCGUAUAUUCUUUAGAUAGGUUUGAAAUCCCAUAAGCACAUUUGGAGGUAAUAUGUCGGAUUGUGGUCCAAACCAUUUCCACCAGUGAUUGAACCAAAUUGGAAAUUCUCGACUACAAUUUUCUUUGAAUGUGAAGAACCAGUAAAUAUUAUCAGAUUCCUGACUACUGGAGAAAAGCUAAAAUGGACAAGACAGUUACCCAAUACUUCAAAAUCCACUACAAAUUCUCCAUCAACACCAAUCAUUCUGGCACCAACUCCAAAUACUACUCCAAUAAAGAAAGAAAAAGAAAAAGAGACGGAGAUGGCAUCCGAGGCAAAUUCAAAUGAUUUCCUGAUGAAAAAGAUGUUACAAGAUCCAAGAUUACUAAAAGAAUAUUUGGACUAUUUGCAAAAGCAAGAGAAAAAAGAAGACACAGCCAAAAUUGAUGAGUCAGCAGAGUCAUCCGAAUCAACUUUUGAUCCUUUUGGGGGACCAUGCGGACAAGACCCAAAUGACUUCUGAGUCAUUCAAAAGUAACGGCCACUUCAAAAAGGAAAUUAAUCACUCAAAGGUGUCGGCCACUUCUCAAUAAAGGCAAAUAAAAUUCAAAUGCAGAUGAAAUGAAGACCAAAUGAAGAUCAGAGCCUCUAUAAAUAGCAUAUAAUUCCAGAA
RNAcentral lists this long non-coding RNA (3825 nucleotides) under Coffea arabica (coffee). RNAcentral describes it as "long non-coding RNA (CARA_LNC001259)". Lineage: Eukaryota; Viridiplantae; Streptophyta; Magnoliopsida; Gentianales; Rubiaceae. The record is from RNAcentral.